Molecule: long non-coding RNA, 2771 nt
Organism: Lycium barbarum (goji berry)
Lineage: Eukaryota; Viridiplantae; Streptophyta; Magnoliopsida; Solanales; Solanaceae
Exons: 8
Source: RefSeq, a predicted model, not a curated record
GCUCCCACUUUGUUUCUUCCUUGUGUGUAGUAGUAUUUUGUUGCUCUUCUUCUCUCAUUUACACCGUGUUUUUUCCUUCCUAUUUCAUGUUAGUUUCUUAUUUUGCUCGAUAUAAUUUUUAUGCUAAUUGUUGAUGAUGAAUAUUUGCCCUCUCUAUCACUUAUAUUCUCUUGCUCGACUCUUCUUCUUCUGAAAUGGCAAUGGUGAAGAAAAAGGCACAAUAAUCUCUGUGUGAUUUGGCAAGCAAGUUCUUCUAAUUUCUUCUGCUUUCCAAGUAUGAGUUAUAUACAUUGCUGUUGUGACAAAUUGUUCGAUGAUAUGACGGACCCGAGAACCACUACAACUUGAUUUCGGCGUUUCCGGUUCUCUACAACAUAUUGAUCUAUCUUUCAGCAAUUUCAGAGGUGAGAUGUGCUUUUCAGUUGUAAAUUAAGUCAUGCAAUGAUGAAUUGUCAUCUGUUAGUAUACAAUGUCAAUCAUCAAGAUGGUAACUUUUACCCACGAACCAAUCUUGGACUAUAUUAUGAAGGUGAGCUAUAAUGUCUAUGUAAUUUGGCAACUUUCUAUUUCCAUCUGUUAGGACUGAUCUAUUUUUAGGGUGUGUUUCAUUUUCAGUCUCUUGGUCUAGAUUGUUGCUUUGCCCCUUCAAUGGGAAGAUCAGUUGAGGUUACUACAGGUCCAGGAAUGAGCCACACCUUAAUUAACUUAACUGAAAGUGAUAGACUAGGUAUACUAUCUGAAGUAAGUGCUGCCUUCCCCAAUCUUAGAUGCAAUAUGGUGAAUGCUGAAGUGUCGAACUUUAACACCUGAGUAGAAGCUAUAUCGCAAGUUACUGAUGAGAAAAAUGGGGUUACAAUUUUGGACCCUGAAAAGUUGUUUAUGAUCUAGCAACUUUUUUGCACUGUUCUUAGAAGUAGUAAAAAUCAAGAGAUGUCAUACUUUGCUAUAUCAUGGGGCCACCCAGACUGAGAGAAGGCUUAACCAGUAGAUGUUUGUAGACGCGGACUAUUAACAUGCGAUAAGUGAAAAUCAGACAUGAAGAAAGGCCAAAUAUGUUGUUAAUUGGCACGACAAUGACUACUCAGUAGUGAUAAUUCGGUGCAAGAGUAGCCUAAAACUUCUAUUUUGUAUGAUCAAUACUUUGGGAGUUAUGCAGCAUGUUGGUUUUCCAUAGUAAUGUCGAUGUUGAAGGACCAAAAGAUUAAGAGGUACUAUAUUUUCUUAUGUAUUUCAGAAAUUUUACAUUGUUUAUAGCUUUACAUCUAACUAGAACUUGUUCUAUACAUAUAUUUGUGGACUCUAUGAUAAUCUUUGUUACGUUCAAGGAAUACUACAUAAGGCAUCUUGAUGAAUCACCUGCAAAAUCAAGAUGCAGGAAGACAAGUAGCCUUUCAAUGUCUUGAAGCAACAAUUGAAAGAAGCGUUUCCAAGAUUAGCACUUUGAUUUACCGUUUUUGACAUAUAGGUAUAAUUUUUCAGCUCUAGCUCGCUCUUUCAAGUAAUUCACUUAAGUAUUGACCAGUAAAUAGAUGCAAUAGGAAAAAGGAGAAGAGGGGGCAAAAAGAGGAUGUAAUGCACUGGUUUCAACCUUUUCUUUUUUGUUUUGUCUAUUUACAUUAACUUCUGUUCCAGGGGAUUCUUAUUCCUGUUGGAGAUGUUGGUGCACGUUGAAAUCUCUUUCUUCAUGUUUUCUUGGUUAAAUUUGUACAUGGAUGUAGUUAAUUCGUAAAUUUUUUCAAUAGAAGCACACUGAAUGGCCAUCCGGAACAAAAUUGUAAGAAACAAAAAAGGAAGAAUUUUGAUGCAGCAAAUUUGUUUGACGAUAAACUUGAAACAACUGAACAAAUAUUUUAUCCAAUUUUACCAGUUGUUCCACAAAAUAACCAUUUAUCAUGCAGAAACUCCAAAGAUAAUUAAAUGGGAGCUGACUUGACAAGAGGACCCAUGAAGAAAUAAGAUAGCCAUACAUGGCUUUAGUGAGAUGAACACCAUGCCAGUUAACGUGUUGAGAAGGUCAGGACAAGAGCUUGCAGAAGGAGAACCCAUGUGUUGAAUCCGUCAAAGUCAAUAUUUGCUCCAUGUUGGUUUCAAUUCUGCGUUUUAUACGGAGUUAUUUUGGAAGAAAGGGCACUUGUUUCAUCAAGUUGACAGCUUGGUCAAGUGAAGAAGAUUGGAGAAAAAGAGUUUGGACGAAACGGGAUUUGAAUUUGGACUAGCGUAAAGGGCGAAAAAGUUAUUUCGGAAGAUAGAGCCUUUGUUUCAUCCAUUUAACAAGUUGGUCAAGUGAAGAAGAUAGGAGAAAAAGACUAGGCCCAAGGCAUCGUUGCUUAGAGCACUGCGAAUGCGAGGGCUUAUCGGUCAACACAAUACCGUGAUUGCAAUCCCGAAUCUAUGUUAGCGGAAGCCAAAUGUCGAAUCAAUUUUUGUUGUUGGCUUUAGUGUAUACAUGUAAAAGAUUUGUGUUGUUGGCUUCAAACUUUGUUGUCUAUUGUCAUUUCAAGAGUAAUCACACUCGUCUCUUUGUUUGCUCAUGCAACUUCUGAUUAUUAUUUAUUUCUUUCUUUCUUGCUUUUUUUUUUUUUUUUUUUUUUUUUGUCUUAGAUGUCCACUAAUUUGUAUGAAAAUAAAAAGGAACCCCCAACAUUUUGCCUAGUCAAUUGGUUUGAUCAAACAAGGGUCAAUUACAAAAAGAAUUGCUAAGUUGCCCAAUUCCAAUAGAAAUUUAGGCCAUCCCAUAUUAUUAUAAUUGAUCGCUUUGAUGUGAUCAUAUA